AAAGCGUGCGCAGGCGGUUAUAUAAGACAGAGGUGAAAUCCCCGGGCUCAACCUGGGAACUGCCUUUGUGACUGUAUGGCUAGAGUGUGUCAGAGGGGGGUAGAAUUCCACGUGUAGCAGUGAAAUGCGUAGAUAUGUGGAGGAAUACCGAUGGCGAAGGCAGCCCCCUGGGAUAACACUGACGCUCAUGCACGAAAGCGUGGGGAGCAAACAGGAUUAGAUACCCUAGU
This 230-nucleotide ribosomal RNA is filed under the name uncultured bacterium. RNAcentral's name for it is "partial 16S ribosomal RNA". It matches the Rfam family "Bacterial small subunit ribosomal RNA", at positions 562 to 791 of the family's 1533-position model. The record is from RNAcentral.